This 212-nucleotide long non-coding RNA is filed under the name Homo sapiens (human). RNAcentral describes it as "LHRI_LNC351.1". The record is from RNAcentral. Lineage: Eukaryota; Metazoa; Chordata; Mammalia; Primates; Hominidae.
CCUGUCUCAGCCUCCUGAGUAGCUGGGAUUAUAGGCAUUUGCCAUCAUGCCCAGCUAAUUUUUGUAUUUUUAGUAGAGACAGGGUUUCAUCAUAUUGGUCAGGCUGGUCUUGAAUUUCUGACCUCAGGUGAUCCGCCUGCCUCGGCCUCCCAAAGUGCUGGGAUUACAGGCAUGAGCCACUGUGCCUGGCCUUGCAUACCAGAUUUUAUGAG